Molecule: transfer RNA, 71 nt
Filed under: Marmota monax (woodchuck)
Lineage: Eukaryota; Metazoa; Chordata; Mammalia; Rodentia; Sciuridae
Description: tRNA.Ala
Source: RNAcentral
GGGGUUGUCACUCAGUGGUAGAGUGCUUGCCUAGCAUGUGCGAGUGUAUGGGUUCGAUCCUCAGCACCACA